GCAGGUCUUCAUUCUUGAUGGGAUUCAGAAACUGUGAACUGUCUUCACAGACAAAUAAUACAAAGUCAGCCUAAGAGUGUGGAGUAAACAGCAUCAAGCCUUUCUUUAAUAAGGAACUCAUCUACAAAAAACAAACAAAUACUUGUUAUACUUUUAUGAAUUGUCAAGUUGUACAACACACAGCAAUUAAGAUUAAGACAAACAAAAAAAUCACUGAUUUUAUUAAUUCCAUUGUUGUGUCUAAUAUAUAGAAACAACUUGUGUUGUAACAGGAAAGAUGACAGCCAGAUGACGUCAAAGUAUCGCGAGAGCGAGACGAAAUUUGAUUUCUUGAAUCCUUCUCGCGGUACUCUGACGUCAUCCGGCUGUCAGUCUUGCGGCGCCGCAUGAAGUCAAAGAAGCCUCCUGACUGCGUGCGAGAACAUUUUGAAUUAUCUGGCACGAGGCAUCACACGUCAAACUUCAACUGACACAACGGUCUCGGUGAAGGGAAUAAGCAAAAGCUCCUUUAAAUUUCGUAAUUUUUUAUACACAUCCCGUUUAUUUUGUAGUUAAUUGUUAGAUAAGUAAGUAAUUUCGUCAAGUUUUCGUUACAGAGUAAGAUUUCGUUAUCAUCGUUACCAUAUACAGUAUUUAUAUUGGUUCAAGAGCGCAGUUUGAUAACUCAUUCAAGCCUUUAAACAUCUAAACAUGUCCUCCAAAAAGGUAAGUUCAGCAGAUCAGCUUAUCUUAUUCUGUAAUAUUGAUACUGGUUUGAGAAAAACUAAGAUUAAACAACGUACAUGUUUCCAGGAAAAAGGGAAAAACACUGGAAAACAAUUUCAGCCUAAGGUUUGAGAUGGCUAACUGUGUACAUUGCCUUUGUGUACUGCAAGCUGAACUUACAGAUUUAUAUGGACUUUACUUACAGGUUUCCUGUGCUGUUUUGCUCCAUUUUACAGAACAAAAUAAGGCUGAGGUAGCACCAUCCUUGUGGUUAGAGUGAAAGAAUGUGGGUAUUGAGACCAAAAUAAAUAAUGUGCCAUUCUGGACAAACAGCUGUUACGUUCCUCUAAUGUUU
Paramisgurnus dabryanus is the source of this 1060-nucleotide non-coding RNA. The record is from RefSeq and is a predicted model, not a curated record. Lineage: Eukaryota; Metazoa; Chordata; Actinopteri; Cypriniformes; Cobitidae.